This 499-nucleotide ribosomal RNA is filed under the name uncultured Glomus. Its description in RNAcentral is "SSU rRNA". It matches the Rfam family "Eukaryotic small subunit ribosomal RNA", at positions 591 to 1092 of the family's 1831-position model. Lineage: Eukaryota; Fungi; Glomeromycota; Glomeromycetes; Glomerales; Glomeraceae. The record is from RNAcentral.
CCAAUAGCGUAUAUUAAAGUUGUUGCAGUUAAAAAGCUCGUAGUUGAAUUUCGAGAUCAAAUUGUUGGUCGUGCCUUGGUACGCACUGGCAUUAUUGGUUUCUCCCUUCUGAAGAACCAUGAUGUCAUUAAUUUGGUGUCAUGGGGAAUCAGGACUGUUACUUUGAAAAAAUUAGAGUGUUUAAAGCAGGCUCGCGCUUGAAUACAUUAGCAUGGAAUAAUGAAAUAGGACGUUUGAUUCUAUUUUGUUGGUUUCUAGGAUCGACGUAAUGAUUAAUAGGGAUAGUUGGGGGCAUUAGUAUUCAAUUGUCAGAGGUGAAAUUCUUGGAUUUAUUGAAGACUAACUACUGCGAAAGCAUUUGCCAAGGAUGUUUUCAUUAAUCAAGAACGAAAGUUAGGGGAUCGAAGACGAUCAGAUACCGUCGUAGUCUUAACCAUAAACUAUGCCGACUAGGGAUCGGAUGAUGUUAAUUUUUUAAUGACUCAUUCGGCGCCUUACG